Manihot esculenta (cassava) is the source of this 3048-nucleotide RNA transcript. It is a transcript of the gene named BTB/POZ domain-containing protein At1g63850, with no coding region annotated. The record is from RefSeq and is a predicted model, not a curated record. The transcript is spliced from 3 exons. Lineage: Eukaryota; Viridiplantae; Streptophyta; Magnoliopsida; Malpighiales; Euphorbiaceae.
AAAUAACCCAGUGGGCCGAUCUUUUUCCCCCUUUGUUGCUGCUAUUCUUCCAUAAUUCCAAAAGCUGAAAUCACCCCUCAGAUGCAAACAACACACGCAGAGAGAGAGAGAGAGAGAAACCCAAUCCUAAAGCAAAGAAAUCAUCAAAAACAUCUAAAUUCCAAACAAAAACAAGACUAAAUAUCACUUCUCAGAUACAGACCCAUUAGUGAGAAUUCACAUUUAUUGCUGUUUCAGUCACUCCUUGGUGUUUUCUGUCUCGUUUCCAUCGCCAUUUUUAAUUUCCAUCCCAAUCAAACCCAAAUUUACAUUAACCUCUCUCUCUCUUUCUUUCUCAUUUGGCAAUGCCAAUGCUCGAUGCCAUCGGCUAAAGGACAAUAAACAUAGAGGUUAGAGAGAAUUAAAACAAAAUUAUUCAUGGCGACAGCAACUACUACUACUACCACAACUACUGCUACAACUACUAAAGCUCAUCUUAAAGUUCAAUCUCAGCCCACCAAGCCCAAACGCCGCAACUGCCGUGAAACUACCAUUUCCUCCUCCGCUGCUACCACCGCCACUGCCAUUGCUAAUUCUAAUAAUUCUGACUCUGUUUCUGCUUCUGGGUAUUCUUCCCAUACUCAAAGCCGGAAACUUGAACGACCCAACAUUGUCUCCCCUGAUAACUCCUGGUGCUGUCCUGCUUCUAUACCUAUCUCUGCCCCAUCUCCGCCUCCUCAACCCUGUCGUUUAACCGUGAGGGAUUCUCACCCAUUUCUUGAUUCGCCGUCAACCUUCAAGAUCCGCUUCUCUCCGGGAAGUCUAUCGCCUGUCAUGGACUUCACGCCCAACUCAGCUUCCACGAUUACCGGCACUACAACCCUAGCCAAUGGCAACCACUCUCCUCAUGAGCCUUCUUCUUUCCCUUCGAGUUUCACGAAAUUUAACACUGCACUCACCGCCGGUCUUCUGAACCCGAUGUCGCCACCGCCGGAUAAACCACGAUCCAGUCCGACGCUUUUCGAGAUGAUGGCAAGCGAGCCGGAAAUGCAACCCAGGAACCAGAUCCCGAUUAACAAUGCUAACGUCACUGCUCGAAGCUCGCAGAACCCCCAAAUGUCUGUUCAAGAUAAGCAGACCCUAAUUAUGCAGCGAAUAGCUGACAUUUUGGGAAACAGAAGCCCUGGAAACCAGUUCAAUGAUGCGUCUUCAAGUGAUGUCAAGCUGACAUUGAGUUCCAAAGACGGAAUUAGCGUGUCAAUGAGCGUCCACAGGCAGAUCCUGGUGGCACACAGCAGGUUUUUCGCUAUGAAAUUGUCGGAUCGGUGGGCCAAGCAGCAGCGCUCGUCGGGGCCGUAUGUAGUGGAGAUUGCCGAUUGCGAUGAUGUCGAGGUUUACAUUGAGACUUUGAGGUUAAUGUAUUGCAAGGAUCUCCGGAGAAAGCUCAUGAAAGAGGAUGUGAGUAGGGUACUUGGUAUUUUGAAGGUUUCUGCAGCAAUUGGGUUUGAUGCUGGGGUUUUAUCCUGCUUGGAGUACUUGGAAGCUGCUCCAUGGGCUGAGGAUGAAGAAGAGAAGGUGGCCUCACUGUUGUCAGAGCUCCGCCUUGAAGGAGUUGGAGCAGGAGAGGUCCUUAAGAGGGUGUCAGUAGAGGUCACUAAUGGAACAGAAGAGAGUAGUGACAAUGAUGAACUGCUUCUCAAGCUUUUGCGUGUAGUUCUUGAAGGUAAAGAUGAGAAAGCUAGGCGGGAGAUGAAAGGGUUGGUAUCAAAGAUGCUUCGUGAGAAUUCUUCACAGAAUGAUCUUCGAAAGGAAUCCUUGUACUCAGCUUGUGAUGGUUGUUUGCGAUUGCUUCAUAGCCAUUUUCUUCAGGCAGCAGCAGGAGAUUUGGAGGAUAUUGAACAGAUAGCACGUCAAGCAGAUAACCUGCAUUGGAUUUUGGAUAUUUUGAUUGACAGACAGAUUGCUGAAGAUUUUCUGAAAACAUGGGCAUCUCAGUCAGAGUUGUCUGAUGUGCAUUCUAAAAUUCCUGCUGUACACAGGUACGAGGUUAGCAGAGUUACAGCAAGGCUGUUUGUUGGGAUUGGAAAGGGGCAACUGUUGGCUUCAAAGGAAGUGAGGUGCUUGCUUUUACAGACAUGGUUGGUGCCAUUUUAUGAUGACUUUGGGUGGAUGAGGAGGGCAUCUAAAGGCCUCGAUCGACAUCUAAUUGAGGAUGGCCUUAGUAACACAAUUCUAACUCUACCUCUUGCUUGGCAGCAAGAUAUUUUACUGGCUUGGUUUAAUAGGUUCUUGAACUCUGGUGAAGACUGUCCAAAUAUACAAAGGGGAUUUGAGGUUUGGUGGAGAAGGGCUUUCUGGAGACGAAGUGGUGAGCAGGAAAGGACAAGGCCAUUAAGAAUCUCGAGUGCAACCAUUGAGAACUCAUGAAAAGAUAUGGACUUCAUGGUGCAUGAAAUGGUUCCCUGAGGAGUUGGUCUCCUUUUAACUUGUCAUGAUGGAUUUGACCCUGACUCUACACCAAUAAUUCUUGGAUCAGUGCCUCUACUUUAGUCCACGCAAAGUCCCUCAACCCGGCCUGUUUUCCUAUUUUCCUCCCUCCUUGCUGGUGCUUAUUUCCCUCUCUUUUGCAGUCUCGCUCCCUAAAGCUCUUGCACCUUUGUUGCUGUUGGUGUUUUGUGGCCCCUCACUGCUGGUCACCUCUUGCACCUCUGUUGUUGUUGGUGAUUCUGUAUUGCUUCUCGCUCAUUCCUGGUGCCUACUGCAUACUGAUUUCCUCGUUACAGCCCCUUUCAGCUGGCCAUCACUGUGACUGACUCGCGAUCUGUCUUUGCACCAACUCUCCAAAAGUUUGCAACGUCUGUGUUGAUGAUUUAUGUACUGUUUUAGAUACUGUCUUGUGGAAGAAAGUUAGCGCAAACCAAUUGAUUCUUUCCUCCUGUAAAUUUUUGAGUAUUGGCUUAUAGAAAUAUUGAUGAUGUUCUUAUUGUAAUUUUGAUCAAUGUAAUAGGCUAUGGAAAUGGUGCUUCUAAAAUAUCGUAAAUUUGCAGGUAUUCUAUUCUAGCUAUUCAA